This 466-nucleotide ribosomal RNA is filed under the name uncultured bacterium. Its description in RNAcentral is "partial 16S ribosomal RNA". It matches the Rfam family "Bacterial small subunit ribosomal RNA", at positions 27 to 507 of the family's 1533-position model. The record is from RNAcentral.
GGACGAACGCUGGUGGCGUGCUUAACACAUGCAAGUCGAACGGAAAGGCCCCUUUGGGGGUACUCGAGUGGCGAACGGGUGAGUAACACGUGAGUAACCUGCCCUUGACUUCGGGAUAACUUCAGGAAACUGGGGCUAAUACCGGAUAGGAAUCCUUGCUGCAUGGUGGGGGUUGGAAAGCUUCGGCGGUUUUGGAUGGGCUCGCGGCUUAUCAGCUUGUUGGUGGGGUAGUGGCUUACCAAGGCUUUGACGGGUAGCCGGCCUGAGAGGGCGACCGGCCACAUUGGGACUGAGAUACGGCCCAGACUCCUACGGGAGGCAGCAGUGGGGAAUAUUGCACAAUGGGCGGAAGCCUGAUGCAGCAACGCCGCGUGCGGGAUGACGGCCUUCGGGUUGUAAACCGCUUUCAGCAGGGGCGAAGCUUGUGGUGACGGUACCUGCAGAAGAAGCACCGGCUAACUACGUG